GGAUUAGAUACCCUGGUAGUCCACGCCCUAAACGAUGUAUGCUUGGUGUUGGCCCCUCGGGGUCAGUGCCGGAGGAAACCCAUUAAGCAUACCACCUGGGGAGUACGAUCGCAAGGUUGAAACUCAAAGGAAUUGACGGGGGCCCGCACAAGCGGUGGAUUAUGUGGUUUAAUUCGAUGCAACGCGAAGAACCUUACCUGGGCUCGAAAUGCAGGAAGUAGGACCCUGAAAGGGGAACCACCCGUCAAGUCGGGAGCCUGUAUAGGUGCUGCAUGGCUGUCGUCAGCUCGUGCCG
This 295-nucleotide ribosomal RNA is filed under the name uncultured bacterium. RNAcentral describes it as "partial 16S ribosomal RNA". It matches the Rfam family "Bacterial small subunit ribosomal RNA", at positions 775 to 1067 of the family's 1533-position model. The record is from RNAcentral.